UGUCUGUGUGCCGAAACCUUCUGCUUUUUGUUUACGUUGCAGGAAACAGUCAAGUUGCUUCCCAAGUCUCCUAAACUGCAUGGCGGCCAUAACUGGAAUUCCCAGGGCCCCCGCUGGGGUUCUUUGAAAGGAAAGGAGAGCACCCAAGGGAGCAGCCUGUACAAGUUUAGCUCAGCAAAGGAAAAAUGGAAGGAAGGGCGAAUCAGUCCUGAACAAGAAGCUGAGGAACUGGAGGAUCCUGAUGAGGAUGAGCCUAUAUCCAAAUUCUCUGGGAGCCUUUUUGAUUCCAGUGAUAACAUCCGGGACCAAAGAAGCGCUAGAGUUGGCCUUCAACAGGAGAGACAGAAAGUGGCACCAAAAGGGAAAAAUGUUCCAGCAGCCAACAAGAAGCCGCAGGUCCCAGCUGCAGCUACUACCAAUAGCCUCCCAACGGAGGGCAUCAGGUUUUCCAAGGAAAGCAAAGACCAAGUCCUUGGAGCUGCAGACUCAACUCAGGCACCUUUGAAGGGGAUUUUAAUAGCUCAUGUCUCCAAAGAUGUCCCAGUUGAAAUGGAGGAGGAACAAUCUGAAGACAAAGUAUUAGAGGAUGCCACUUUUUCUGAACCCAGCACACCUGAUUCUGGUCCUGCAGAGCUACCAUCUAAAAGUGGUCCAUUUCAAACAAUAAACCAUGUUAUAACAGUAAGUAAUGGUGGAUUAUAUGAACAAGAGGGAUAAUGAAUUCCUACCAUCUGGGGUGAUUUAAAAUAUAGUUCCUUGACACCUGAAAUUUACUUUUCCUGUCUAGUUUGUUUACUGAUUUAAACACAACAACCCAUUAAAUAGCAGUACAAGAUAGGCAAUAUAUUUCUUUAAACAGUAUUUGUGCUGUAUUUUUACGCCUGCUCUCUUGUGUCAUUGGUUGACUCCUCUACACAUGUAUUGAGGAGCCUGCAUUUUUGCUGUGGAAAAGGUAAAGAAGCCAGGAAAGGGAUGGACUUAUUCCCGGCUCUCCUCAUUGCUUGAGACUAAUGAUCUUGUCACAUGGCCACCGGAAUCGCCCCAUGUCAUCUCGAGUCUUUGAGGGGAGUGGGGAACCCAGCACCCCAUGCCCUGCAUCACCUCGCUGCAGAUUUCAUUGAUCCUAUGGCGGGGGGGAGCGUUGACCAUACGGCUUCCUUUCAUGGCUUCCUAUGAGAACAUGGGAAGCCUCCCAUGUUGCUGUGGCAGUGGCAUGCUCUGGCUUCACCUUAUUUCACUCAUAGAUCCCCAUUGACAUUGUUUGAUGGGAGCUGGUGGACUCCAUGGGUAAUGUAGGGUAGAGCUGACAUAUGUCGUCGAAAUUUUGCCCUUGUGAUGAGAUCGUUAAACACAACUUGAGCCUGUAUUUAUACAGGAGGUCCUCCACUUCAGUGGGGGUUAGGGACACAAGAACCCCCCCAAAAGUAAGAAAAUUCAAACAAAAAUUGCUAUUAUUGUUAUCUGAGAGAACAACUCUAGGAGUAUUAGGCCGCUUUGUAGAGCAUAAUUUACAUUUGCAAAUAAAAUAUUGUUCCCCCCUUGCCACACAAAGUCAAAAAGUGAUGGGCAAUCAGAGAAGUAGUCGGAAGGACAAACCAUCAGACUUCAAAUGAAAUGUAAUUAAUGAUCAAAUAUAAUGAUAAUGAUUAUGAUGACGUGAUAGAUUAGUUGGCAGGCAGGUACUUUAACCUACCAGCACUCCAAGUAGUGCUUAAAGAGCUGUUAAAAAUUAUUACAUGCCAAUUGCAAAACAAUGCAUAAUGUAUUACCUAGCUGAGAAAGUAUUUUAAUAAUUAAGAAUAUUGUGUCAUAUCCAUGUAUCCAGUACUUGAGUUUCAGCAAAUAUAUGACACCUAGUUUUAGAAAGAAGAAGAGGGGGUUUGUGAGUGAAUGUUCAUGUUGCUUCCUCGUUUCCCUUGCCCAUUUCAUUUUUUUUUCAUGCUCUCUUCCCUUUCUUGUACCCAAGAUACCUCGCAUCAUCCUAACACGCCCUUCAACUUCAGAUGAAGAUACUGACCAGUUACCACAAGACCCGGAUGAUUUUGAGCCAGAGGAAACAGAGAAUACUGAAGGCCACCUCUAUUCAGACUGUUUAAACAAUGCUUUUUAUCCUCCUUAAUAAAAUGUUCUUUUUAGGAAAAACAACAACAACUAAGUAUCAUGGUAUUUAUUGUUCUUUUACUGUCACAUGGAAAGGUGAAGGCGAAGGGAGAAGAUUUGGAGAGGGUGAGAGGAAAAAGGGUCUAUCAAGAUGGGGAGCCAUGUAGGAUGGGUGCCAGGGAAGGCAGCUUGUAUUUCAGGUCGACUGAGAUUACUCAAGAUAGCUAAGAUGGAAGAGAGAAUGUGCUUGGAAGUAUUUAUCUACAUACAAACAAAGAAAAACAAAACAUUUCACAGCUGCUUCUCUGUACCUAACAACCUUGAGGGACUGGCGAUUAGGUACUUAAGACUUUCAUAGCAUUUAAUGGACUAUAUCCAAGGACAAUCUCAUAUGGACAUUUUCAUGUUUCUAAUUGACAGAAAGCCACAAGCAAGUGGUUUGUCUCUAGUAAGUGUAAUCAUAUAUAUGUAGUAUUAUGGAUUUCUGUGCUUUUACUUCUCAAGAAGCAAGCAUAAAUGAAGGUACAGGUGGGAAACAGCAGUCCUUUGGAUCAAUUCUUUUUGAGUUGAGGAGAAGAUAGUGAUUAGCAUUUUUCUCCUAAUGUUUUAGGAACUGCCACCAUAUUUAUUCCCAUUGUCUACAACUGAGAAUUUCUUUCCUGGGAAAUCUCUGUGGACCAACAAUUGCACUGGUCUACCACAUUCAGUAGUCCUGCUCUAGGA
Anolis carolinensis (green anole) is the source of this 2823-nucleotide long non-coding RNA. The record is from Ensembl. NCBI's taxonomy places the organism in Eukaryota, Metazoa, Chordata, Lepidosauria, Squamata, Anolidae.